AGGGGCGGGAGGGUUGGAAUCUUGCUCCCAGCAGAGUUCGACCGAGCGAAGGCAGAGACUUGGAAGGGAGGGGGAACCCCGGCCUCAGCGACUACUGGGCACGGGUGGGAGGAGGGGUCCCUCCCUCUUAGCCCGGGUGGGAGGGAUCUGCGCUGGUGUUCAAGUGUCCUGCCUCUUCUACCCUCACCAUCGGCCUUUGCUGCUGUCAGUUGAGCGCAGUGUCCCCACCCCUUACCCUUUUCCCUGCCUCCCCACCGGUGGCCUCUGCGGCCCGCCCCGUCCACAGUGGAGGAGCUGAGACCUUCUCUGAAACUCAGCCAGAGCCUUUUCCUCCAACAAGGGCAGGGAGGGGGGAGGAAGGUUGUUGGGCUUUGGAGAGGGAUCCUGGGAUCUGUAGUUCGGAGGAUGGUACAGCCUAUGUCUGCUUUACAGGCAGCCUGGCUAAGGGGAACUACGGGGGUGGAUGCAUAGCUGCCAAAGGAGGUGAAGUUGGAGGAGGCCCUAGAGAGGAACCAGAGAGGGAGGCUCUCCUCAGGUAUGAAGCUGAAAUUUACAGAUAAAGCAAUGAAGAAGAAGCAGCAAGUUUCCUAGCCAGUCUUGUAGAAACUCCCAUGUAAUGUUCUACAGUCAUUAACAUAUGCAGAAAUAAAUCAGCAGGAUGUCCCCCCACCCUCUCCAAAGACAAUAGCUUUGCACCUGUUGAAGACAAAUGAAAUUGGGCAGAUUUUUCUUUUUCUCGCACUGUAAGCAUUUUAUAAGUCAGGCACAGUGGAAAAUCAAUGAUCCAAACCAAACUGAAAUGCGUGUUGUGUUGCUUGACUUGGUCAUGUAACUGAUUGAAAUUAAAAGUAUUCUAGGGAUAACCUUAUGUUCUAGUGGCAGUGCAAUGCACAGUCAUGUAAGAGAUCAGUAUUUAGGGCCAGAUCCACAAAAGGAUUAGGUGCCUACAGCUCAGAUUAGGCACCUAAGUCCCUGUUGUGGGCAUCACUGUGAUCCACAAAACCCCUGCUCAGCUGCUGCCUAACCCUGUAGGUGCCUAAAUUCACUUGGUGCCUACGUUUUUGCUGUAAAAGUUCCCUAGGUAUCUAAGUUUCCGCUACUGAACAUGCACAAUGCUGCCUUUCUCUAGGCAUCCAUAUGCCUGUCUCUCACUGAAGCUCCAGGGCAAUCCAAUGCAAUCCAGUGCAGGAGAAGAUAGGCAUUCCUCUGCCAGGUGUGCUCUGAGCGUGUCUCACUCCUCACAAAAUGGCCAGGAGAGAGGAGUCCUCCCUUUAGCCCACCGUUUAAGGUGUUCACUCAGGAGGUGGGAGACCCUGGUUGAGUUUCCUCCUCUGCCUUAUAAGAAGGCAUUUGAACAAGGGUUCCUCGCUGCUCAAGGGAGUGUCCUAACCACUGGGCUAUGGGACAUUCUGAUGUGGGGCUUUCUCCAUGGCUUGAAGUCGCUCCACUUUCAUUAAAUCAUUCAGUAUUAAUUGGGCCAGAGAAAGAAUGAGAAUCACUCUAUAGUCCAACAGUUAGGGCUCUCACCUGAGAGCUUGAGAACCCCUGUUCAAAUCCUUUCUUCUGAUCAACCAAGGGGAGGGGGUAAAUUGAAUCAGGAUCUCCCACAUUCCAGAUGAGGGCCCUAACUAGUGGCAUAAAAGCUGUAAGGGAAUCUUUCUCCCACUCCACCCUCAGCCAUUUUGUGUGGUGCAAGGAUGCACUGCUCCCUAGAGACACCAGCUGGCAGGUAAACAAUGCUCCAGAAAAAGCCAUGUCCAGCCAUGUUCACCAAACAGAAGGUUACUGCAACAUGGGGCACUGGGUGAGAAGUAAAAAGGCCAAGAGUUAGCAAUAUGAAAACAAACAUCUUGAGGUUUUUCUAUUUCAGUAUGAAAAUCGUGUGCGUGUCAGAGAAGGUUGGUCACAGAACCUUUUCAUAUAAUAGAGCAAUUUGGAUAAUUGAGUUUAUAAUGUAAUUAUACUCAUGUCCUUUGCCAACUAGAAUUUUUGUUGCUAUUUUCCCCCCUACCUUCUACACCUCCAUGCUUAAGCAAUGCUCUGUGUAACUGAUAUUUUGAAAAUAAAAUGAGGAAUUGAAAAAUUAACUUAAAAUGUUUGAAGGAAGGGGAGAAGGUGUUAGAAUGCCAGGAUGGGAUAAGAUGCAUUUAUCUGAAGGUCAUUUAUCUGAAGGUCUCACUAACAGAUUAACCCAAAAAACUAAGCUACAAAAGCUAUGCAACUCACAUAAAAUCAUGUAAAUAGGGAACAACGACGAAUUAAACGAAUUUGUUCAAAAAAUCUGCAAUGACUUAUUGACAAUGCAAUACGAUUCAGCAGUCAAACUCCACAAAGAAAGAAACCAGUAGAAAGAUGUUGGUUGGCAAAUAUCUAUCUAAUGACCCCAAACAGGACUGAAAAUUCAUCAGAGAUUCUACCAGCAAGAGACAGUGAGAACAUGUGAGCAAAUGCCCUUUCCAACAUGGUCUUAAACUAAAACUUCACACACUAGAAUCCACGCUCAGCAAUUCGUGGAGCUUGGCUUUGUUAACAUAGAAAUUAACAUUACUACAACAUAGAAUCAUAGAAUCAUAGAAUAUAAGGGUUGGAAGGGACCCCAGAAGGUCAUCUAGUCCAACCCCCUGCUCGAAGCAGGACCAAUUCCCAGUUAAAUCAUCCCAGCCAGGGCUUUGUCAAACCUGACCUUAAAAACCUCUAAGGAAGGAGAUUCUACCACCUCCCUAGGUAACGCAUUCCAGUGUUUCACCACCCUCUUAGUGAAAAAGUUUUUCCUAAUAUCCAAUCUAAACCUCCCCCACUGCAACUUGAGACCAUUACUCCUCGUUCUGUCAUCUGAUACCAUUGAGAACAGUCUAGAGCCAUCCUCUUUGGAACCCCCUUUCAGGUAGUUGAAAGCAGCUAUCAAAUCCCCCCUCAUUCUUCUCUUCUGCAGGCUAAACAAUCCCAGCUCCCUCAGCCUCUCCUCAUAACUCAUGUGUUCCAGACCCCUAAUCAUUUUUGUUGCCCUUCGCUGGACUCUCUCCAAUUUAUCCACAAUGAAGUGGAUUUUAAAUGAAGUGCAGUUUAAAGUGUCUGUCCAUGCUUGGAUGCUCAAUGGUCCUUCCCUCAGAACUAGAUAUCCCACACAGUUUUUCUACAGAGAGCCACACUCACUUCCCUCAUAUCUAGGUGGUACAAUGAACUACUUGAUUCUGUCAUGAAAGGGUUAACACCUGCUAACAGGCUGGGGUAUUUCAGGCAAAAACUUUAUUUAAUUAAAGAAAGAUUUCUUCAGUGUGCUUGUGCAGUCAAAACUCUUGUCCCUAUCCCACACCAUGGAUGAAAAUCUAAUACAUUUGUUCAUAAAGAUUAGGUCAGCCAAUCAGAUAAAAGGCAUUAUGCUGGUCCGUCACACAGCUCAGAUACUGAAUAUUGACAAUGUGAAUGAAUACUCACAGUGAACAGUUUACUAGCAAUCCAUAGAUUGACAUUUGUUUGCACAAAACAUUUAUCAAACUGUUGCAAAUAGCGAACAAAUCAGUAAAAGUCUCAAUCUGCCCAUGGACAAUUUGUGAUCGGACAUGAGGGCGAAAUCUGGCAAAUAAAUGGUUUCUGCAAUUUGAUUCACCGGCCUCCACUGGAGACCCUUACACUCCACCAUGAGGGAUUUCAUUUCACCAUGUGUUCUGUAAUACAAAAUUAUGUGCUCAUUUGAAUUUUAUUCUGAUUUCCUAAUCUUUUGCCUCAUAAAUAAGUUCCAAUCAUUUGUGCAAUAAAUUGCAACAGUC
Caretta caretta (loggerhead turtle) is the source of this 3767-nucleotide long non-coding RNA. RefSeq lists it as uncharacterized. The record is from RefSeq and is a predicted model, not a curated record. NCBI's taxonomy places the organism in Eukaryota, Metazoa, Chordata, Testudines, Cheloniidae.